UCUAAUACCGGAUACGACCUGGRAGNGCAUGCUUUCGGGUGGAAAGCUCCGGCGGUGAAGGAUGAGCCCGCGGCCUAUCAGCUUGUUGGUGGGGUAAUGGCCUACCAAGGCGACGACGGG
This 120-nucleotide ribosomal RNA is filed under the name Streptomyces crystallinus. RNAcentral describes it as "partial 16S rRNA". It matches the Rfam family "Bacterial small subunit ribosomal RNA", at positions 162 to 283 of the family's 1533-position model. Lineage: Bacteria; Bacillati; Actinomycetota; Actinomycetes; Kitasatosporales; Streptomycetaceae. The record is from RNAcentral.